CAGGGAAUAGGUGAACCAGAAUUUCAGCUUUGGGUGUUGAUGGUGGAACUGGGGGUUCCUUCCUUGAA
Molecule: transfer RNA, 68 nt
Filed under: Rhinolophus formosae (Formosan woolly horseshoe bat)
Lineage: Eukaryota; Metazoa; Chordata; Mammalia; Chiroptera; Rhinolophidae
Description: tRNA-Pro
Source: RNAcentral